Non-coding RNA from Acanthosepion pharaonis, 112 nucleotides. Lineage: Eukaryota; Metazoa; Mollusca; Cephalopoda; Sepiida; Sepiidae. The record is from the annotation of a GenBank genome assembly.
UUACGGCCAUAUCACGUCGAAACAGUGGUUCUUGUACGAUCACCGAAGUUAAGCAACGUUGAGCCUUGUUAGUAACUAUGUGAAUGCCCGUUUGGGAAUACCAGGUGCUGUU